This 211-nucleotide unclassified non-coding RNA is filed under the name Hevea brasiliensis (rubber tree). The record is from RNAcentral. Lineage: Eukaryota; Viridiplantae; Streptophyta; Magnoliopsida; Malpighiales; Euphorbiaceae.
GUUGUGACCAGUGCCAUCAGCGAUUGAAGACGUGAAAGAUGGAAAGAAGCACUAAGCUAUCUCUGUGUGUGUGUUUGUGUGUCUUCUCUUUGAAUCUAUGGAUAUGGAGAGAGUCUCCGUGUCACUGAAACUUAAACCAAAAAGAGAAAGGGAGAAAAUGACGUGGAGAAAGAAAAAUGAAUAAAGUAAUGCGAUAGAGCGCGUGAAGAAC